CCUACGGGCGGCAGCAGUAGGGAAUAUUGCUCAAUGGGGGAAACCCUGAAGCAGCAACGCCGCGUGGAGGAUGAAGGUUUUCGGAGUGUAAACUCCUAUUGGUAGAGAAGAAAAUGACGGUAGGUAACGAAUAAGCAGCGGCUCACGCCGUGCCAGCAGCCGCGGUAAUACGGAGGGGGCAAGCGUUACUCGGAAUGACUUGGCGGCAAGAGCGCGUAGGCGGGAUAGCAAGUCAGAUGUGAAAUCCUAUGGCUUAACCCUAGAACUGCAUUUGAAACUGUUAUUCUAGAGUAUGGGAGAGGUAGGUGGAAUUCUUGUUGUAGCGGUCACAUCCGU
Molecule: ribosomal RNA, 336 nt
Filed under: uncultured bacterium
Lineage: Bacteria
Description: partial 16S ribosomal RNA
Rfam family: Bacterial small subunit ribosomal RNA
Source: RNAcentral